UGGGGAAUCUUGCGCAAUGGCCGAAAGGCUGACGCAGCGACGCCGCGUGUGGGAGGACGCCUUUCGGGGUGUAAACCACUGUUGCCCGGGACGAACACGGCUAUUCGUAGCCGCUGACGGUACCGGGUGAGGAAGCACCGGCUAACUCCGUGCCAGCAGCCGCGGUAAUACGGAGGGUGCGAGCGUUGUCCGGAAUCAUUGGGCGUAAAGGGCGCGUAGGUGGCCCGGUCAGCGUGCGGUGAAAGCUCGGGGGCUCAAA
This 259-nucleotide ribosomal RNA is filed under the name uncultured Gemmatimonas sp. RNAcentral describes it as "partial 16S ribosomal RNA". It matches the Rfam family "Bacterial small subunit ribosomal RNA", at positions 355 to 613 of the family's 1533-position model. The record is from RNAcentral. Lineage: Bacteria; Pseudomonadati; Gemmatimonadota; Gemmatimonadia; Gemmatimonadales; Gemmatimonadaceae.